This 339-nucleotide ribosomal RNA is filed under the name Culcua kolibaci. RNAcentral describes it as "partial 16S ribosomal RNA". The record is from RNAcentral. Lineage: Eukaryota; Metazoa; Arthropoda; Insecta; Diptera; Stratiomyidae.
UCUUUUAAUUGAAGGCUCGUAUGAAUGGUUGGACGAGAUAUUAACUGUUUCAAUUAAAUUAAAUAGAAUUUUAUUUUUUAGUAAGAAAGCUAAAAUUAAAUUAAAAGACGAGAAGACCCUAUAGAUCUUGAUAAUUUAUAUAUUAUUUUUAUAAAGAAAAAUUUAAAUUUAAUAUAAAAAAUUAUUUUAUUGGGGUGAUAACAAGAUUUAAUAAACUUUUGUAUUAUAAAUACAUAAAUUAAUGAAUUAUUGAUCCAUAAAUAAUGAUUAAUAAAUUAAGUUACCUUAGGGAUAACAGCGUAAUUUUUUUAGAGAGUUCAUAUCGAUAAAAAAGAUUGC